UUUUCCUACUGCCCAGUUUGAGAUGCAAUGAGUCCGGGUCUGAGGAGAUGUAAUGUCGUCAUGGGACACAGAGAAAAAAAUCCAGCAGAAGCGGCGGUGAAAACAACACCAACUGAAGAAACGGUGGCAAAGAGCCAGAAGAGAGAAGCAGCAACAAGCAUACAGCCAAGCAAGAGAGACACAGAGUUGUCCGAGAGACGAGAGCCAGCAGCAAAGAGGGAGCUAAGCUCUACAGAGACAAAGUUUGGCUGCCGGUGAUUACCCUCCUCCCGUGGAGACAGAAACACAUCUGGUGUCUGUAGAACAGCAAAGAAACAGAGAGGAGAUGAGCCAAAGCAGCCAUCCUUGGUGUGCACAGCUGCAGCAUCCUAACACUGCUGCUCCACCUGAGAGCCAUGGCUCGUGUUUGACUUUGGUUCCAGUAGUUCUCAGUUUAGUUUCUUUCUUUUUUAUACUUUAACUUUUCAUUUCUUAAUGGCAUGAGGAAGAAAUGUCUGGCACCAUGGGAGAGGAAGAGCUACCUCUGUCUCUGAGCACAGUGAGUUGGUAAAGAUUUAUUUUACUUUAUUUAUUUAAAUGACUGUUUUCUCUCCAAGUGAAUUGCCCAA
Long non-coding RNA from Pipra filicauda (Wire-tailed manakin), 608 nucleotides. RefSeq lists it as uncharacterized. NCBI's taxonomy places the organism in Eukaryota, Metazoa, Chordata, Aves, Passeriformes, Pipridae. The transcript is spliced from 4 exons. The record is from RefSeq and is a predicted model, not a curated record.